UACGUAGGGGGCUAGCGUUGUCCGGAUUUAUUGGGCGUAAAGAGCGUGUAGGCGGCCAGGUAGGUCUGGUGUGAAAACUCGAGGCUUAACCUUGAGAUGUCAUCGGAAACCAUUUGGCUAGAGCCCGGAAGAGGAAAGUGGAAUUCCUGGUGUAGCGGUGAAAUGCGCAGAUAUCAGGAAGAACACCAAUGGCGAAAGCAGCUUUCUGGGACGGUACUGACGCUGAGACGCGAAAGCGUGGGGAGCGAACAGG
This 253-nucleotide ribosomal RNA is filed under the name uncultured bacterium. Its description in RNAcentral is "partial 16S ribosomal RNA". It matches the Rfam family "Bacterial small subunit ribosomal RNA", at positions 524 to 776 of the family's 1533-position model. The record is from RNAcentral.